Molecule: transfer RNA, 69 nt
Filed under: Dipodomys ordii (Ord's kangaroo rat)
Lineage: Eukaryota; Metazoa; Chordata; Mammalia; Rodentia; Heteromyidae
Rfam family: tRNA
About the family: Transfer RNA (tRNA) molecules are approximately 80 nucleotides in length. Their secondary structure includes four short double-helical elements and three loops (D, anti-codon, and T loops).
Source: Rfam by way of RNAcentral
UGGGAUGUAGCUCAGUGGCAAAGCACUUGCCUAGCAAGUGCAAUGUCCUGGGUUCGAUCCCAGCACCAA